Molecule: ribosomal RNA, 253 nt
Filed under: uncultured bacterium
Lineage: Bacteria
Description: partial 16S ribosomal RNA
Rfam family: Bacterial small subunit ribosomal RNA
Source: RNAcentral
UACGGGGGGGGCAAGCGUUGUUCGGAAUUACUGGGCGUAAAGGGCGCGUAGGCGGAUAUUUAAGUUAGAGGUGAAAGCCCAGGGCUCAACCCUGGAAUAGCCUUUAAUACUGGAUAUCUUGAGUUCGGGAGAGGUGAGUGGAACUCCGAGUGUAGAGGUGAAAUUCGUAGAUAUUCGGAAGAACACCAGUGGCGAAGGCGACUCACUGGGCCGAUACUGACGCUGAGGAGCGAAAGCGUGGGGAGCGAACAGG